CCAUUCUGGUGUUUAGCCAAUCAGAGCUCGGCGUCGCGUUUACAGGCGUCACCCUGUCUCUAUAAAUUGCAGCGGGAGGACGCAGGCGGUCUUUCAGUCGCAGCAUGGCAGGGUGGAGUGUGGUUGUGGGGCCUGCCUCAGGUCGCCUACUUUAUUCUGUGAGCCGGCUUGGCUAUGGCUAGGUAUGUCUACCAUCUCUGUAUCAGUAAGCAAUGCUUUGCCUGGUCUGGAUUAAUACUCCGGUUCCUGAGGCAGUGCCGAGUACUGGCUGCUGUUAUGAAUCACGUGGAGCCCAGUAUACUUGGCGCUGUCCUAGUAUGUUAAUAACUUUGUGUAUUCUAUUGUCUGACAUGGCUCUGCAGCUUUGUUACUAAAUGUUAUAAUCCAUCUCAAACUAGAAACGUCUCUCUUUGUCAUGAGAUGCCUACAGGUUUACUCGGCGCUGUGUUGGCAAUGGUGCAAUCACUGCUACAAUGUACCGCCUUCCGCAGAUUUAUUAUUCUGGUGUCUGCCCUUACACUCAGAACUGACACCUAUCAGAACACGUUCUAUGUGUUGUUUUUUUUUUUUUUUUUACUAAAUGUAGCCCAUAGCUAUAUUCUGUUUAUGUAACUGUUUUAUAUGUUCAUUACUGCACCAAUUUAAACUCAGGCCAUGAAACUUUUGUAGACCACCUUAGUGUACCCCCUUAACUUAGGGGCUGUUAAGGAUCUUGAAAUAACAUCAAUUUUGGCAAUGCGUUCCUAAAACAGGAACUUAAAUAGCUAGAAUCAAACUCGUGAUAAAUGUCACAUCUUUAAUGCUGCACCUUUUUUUAGGUCACGACUGAAAAAAAUGACUGACUUGAUUGCCUGUGAAGGUUAGCAUUGGAUUACUGAACUCGUGUGGAGCCAAUGGACUAAAUAGCUGGGAUUUAUUAUCCAGGUAUGUGUUCAGCUUCUAAUGGUCCUGUACAUGUCAGUGCAUCAAGUGCAAUACAUCCCCCUUAAUUGCAUUUAAAACUGCAUUAUAUUGCAUAGUCAUGCUUAAAGGGAAGCAUAAAGGAGUUACACCAUAUGACAAUAACUCUAAAAAUUGUAACCCUUUCAUAAAGUGAUUAGUUUUCUUAAGUGGACUUCACAUAAUUCAUUUAAUAAGACCUUUUUGUGAAAUGUGACAUUACUGUCAAAAUGGGAUAGGAAUCAGGGAAAAGGUUCAGCACUGAUAAGAAACGGAGUAUAAGGCAGCACACCUUAAAAAGGAAUCCCCUCUGAACCCCUUAAAGUACAGUAGAAAAGAGAGAAAAAAAUAAGGGUGCGCCUAAAACAAGUAAAAAUGGUAAAAUGAGAAUAGCAGCAAUAACAAAAAAUUCGGAAAAAUGUCCAAAUAUAAAAAAUGGGAUAACCACGGUACCUAAUAGUCCAAAUAUAAAAUGUCCAAAUGCGCAAAUGGUGGUCUAUGGACUACUAGGACCACCAUUUGCGCAUUUGGACUAUUGGGUACCGUGGUUAUCCCAUUUUUUUAUAUUUGGACAUUUUUCCAAAUUUUUUGUUGCUGCUAUUCUCAUUUUACUAUUUUUACUUUAGGCGCACCCUUAUUUUUUCUCUCUUUAUUACUGUCAAAAUGUCCUAAAACAAAGUAGGGAGUACUGUCACUUACCUGAAUCCAGCGCCAAUGUUCCUUGGUGUUGCUUUUCCCGAACUCCAGAGGCUUAAUGCACAUGCACAGAAAGUGCCACGUUCACAGCAUGACUACUCUAUAGGAAAGCAUUGAAUGCUUUCCUUUGGGAUUUUGGUGAAUGCUGGAUGUUAUGUAGUGAGGAUAUUCCGCACCAGUUUUGUGACAGUCUCAAAUGACAAAGUCCCUCUAGUGGCUGUCUAGUAAAUAGCCACUCAAACCCUGCAAUGUAAUUAUUGCAGUUUCUCUAACUGCAGUAUGUACAAUAAUGGGGUAAAACUGACAGGCACUGCACCCACACCACUUCUACAAGCUGAAGUGUCCCUUUAAGAUUUUAAUGACACAUCAAAUUGUGCUUCUAUAAUAAACUUACAGAUGAUUGUGGAGACCUGUUUGGCUGUGAUGACAACUUGCCCUCACUGUGAACUUGUUCUGUGAUGAGAAUACCACUGUACUCAAUUCUGUCUGAGCCAUACUGUAGCACACAAUUUUAUGUAUUGUAAGAUAAAUAUGAUAUUAAACAAUUUAUUUUUGUUUUCCAGAAUGUCUUCUGUCUACUCUGGUCUUUUUGCAAGAAUGAUUAAGGUAUGAAUUACUUGAGUCUACCAUGGCUUAUAUAUUCACCCCUUGGUCUGAUAAUGAUGACAAACUUGCCCUCACUGAGAACUAUGUUCUAUAAUGAGAACUCCAAUCGUACUCAAAGCUGAAACAGACCAAGGGAAACUCUAAAUGUGCUUGAUUUAGAAUGCAGUCUUAAAUCAUGACUCACUUCAUAGAUUAUUUUUUGUUAUAAUCUGCAGAUAGCAUUAACCUUGUCUGAUUUAAAGAAUACAAUCUGUUGCAUCCCAUAUGACAAUGUGAUCAUAUCAUUUUCAUGAUUUAAAAAAAUGUGUGCUUUGAUGCUCACUUGUAAUGACUGGUAAGUCUUUUUUCUUUUAGGUGGUUAUCAAGGUGUGAAGAAAAUAUCUGACUUGGUCAAAGAGCAUUAUGAUCUACUAAAUUUGCAAAAUCUGAGUGAGGGGGAUAUGAGAUGCAAGCACAUGAUCAACACUUACUGAACACAUUUAAUGCUCUUAAGGUCUCUGAACCAUGACAAAUAAAAGAUGAUAAAUUAAGUGUU
Non-coding RNA from Pelobates cultripes (western spadefoot toad), 2776 nucleotides. Lineage: Eukaryota; Metazoa; Chordata; Amphibia; Anura; Pelobatidae. The record is from the annotation of a GenBank genome assembly.